RNAcentral lists this ribosomal RNA (253 nucleotides) under uncultured bacterium. RNAcentral describes it as "partial 16S ribosomal RNA". It matches the Rfam family "Bacterial small subunit ribosomal RNA", at positions 524 to 776 of the family's 1533-position model. The record is from RNAcentral.
GACGGAGGGUGCAAGCGUUGUUCGGAUUGACUGGGCGUAAAGGGCGUGUAGGCGGUUGAUCAAGUCUGGUGUGAAAGCCUGAAGCUCAGCUUCAGAAGUGCAUCGGAAACUAGUCGACUGGAGCGCGAUAGAGGAGGGUAGAAUUCCUGGUGUAGCGGUGAAAUGCGUAGAUAUCAGGAGGAAUACCGGCGGCGAAGGCGGCCCUCUGGAUCGUUGCUGACGCUGAGACGCGAAAGCGUGGGGAGCAAACAGG